Non-coding RNA from Hordeum vulgare subsp. vulgare (domesticated barley), 124 nucleotides. Lineage: Eukaryota; Viridiplantae; Streptophyta; Magnoliopsida; Poales; Poaceae. The record is from Rfam.
GAAGUACUCCCUCCGUCCGAAAAUACUUGUUCUAAAGAUGAAUGUAUCUAGACUUANNUUAGUUAUAGAUACAUUCAUUAUAUUCAUUUUUAGGACAAGUAUUUCCGGUCGGAGGGAGUAUUUC